This 483-nucleotide ribosomal RNA is filed under the name uncultured bacterium. Its description in RNAcentral is "partial 16S ribosomal RNA". It matches the Rfam family "Bacterial small subunit ribosomal RNA", at positions 30 to 508 of the family's 1533-position model. The record is from RNAcentral.
AUUGAACGCUGGCGGCAUGCUUUACACAUGCAAGUCGAACGGUAACAGGCCGCCAGGUGCUGACGAGUGGCGAACGGGUGAGUAAUGCAUCGGAACGUGCCCAGUCGUGGGGGAUAACUACUCGAAAGAGUAGCUAAUACCGCAUACGAUCUAUGGAUGAAAGCGGGGGACCGUAAGGCCUCGCGCGAUUGGAGCGGCCGAUGUCAGAUUAGGUAGUUGGUGGGGUAAAGGCUCACCAAGCCAACGAUCUGUAGCUGGUCUGAGAGGACGACCAGCCACACUGGGACUGAGACACGGCCCAGACUCCUACGGGAGGCAGCAGUGGGGAAUUUUGGACAAUGGGCGCAAGCCUGAUCCAGCAAUGCCGCGUGCAGGAAGAAGGCCUUCGGGUUGUAAACUGCUUUUGUACGGAACGAAACGGCUCUGGUUAAUACCCGGGGCUAAUGACGGUACCGUAAGAAUAAGCACCGGCUAACUACGUGC